RNAcentral lists this ribosomal RNA (1525 nucleotides) under uncultured bacterium. RNAcentral describes it as "bacterial SSU rRNA". It matches the Rfam family "Bacterial small subunit ribosomal RNA". The record is from RNAcentral.
GAGAGUUUGAUCCUGGCUCAGGACGAACGCUGGCGGCGUGCCUAAUACAUGCAAGUAGAACGCUGAAGAGAGGAGCUUGCUCUUCUUGGAUGAGUUGCGAACGGGUGAGUAACGCGUAGGUAACCUGCCUUGUAGCGGGGGAUAACUAUUGGAAACGAUAGCUAAUACCGCAUAACAAUGGAUGACACAUGUCAUUUAUUUGAAAGGGGCAAUUGCUCCACUACAAGAUGGACCUGCGUUGUAUUAGCUAGUAGGUGAGGUAAUGGCUCACCUAGGCGACGAUACAUAGCCGACCUGAGAGGGUGAUCGGCCACACUGGGACUGAGACACGGCCCAGACUCCUACGGGAGGCAGCAGUAGGGAAUCUUCGGCAAUGGGGGCAACCCUGACCGAGCAACGCCGCGUGAGUGAAGAAGGUUUUCGGAUCGUAAAGCUCUGUUGUAAGUCAAGAACGGGUGUGAGAGUGGAAAGUUCACACUGUGACGGUAGCUUACCAGAAAGGGACGGCUAACUACGUGCCAGCAGCCGCGGUAAUACGUAGGUCCCCGAGCGUUGUCCGGAUUUAUUGGGCGUAAAAGCGAGCGCAGGNCGGUUUGAUAAGUCUGAAGUUAAAGGCUGUGGCUCAACCAUAGUUCGCUUUGGAAACUGUCAAACUUGAGUGCAGAAGGGGAGAGUGGAAUUCCAUGUGUAGCGGUGAAAUGCGUAGAUAUAUGGAGGAACACCGGUGGCGAAAGCGGCUCUCUGGUCUGUAACUGACGCUGAGGCUCGAAAGCGUGGGGAGCGAACAGGAUUAGAUACCCCUGGUAGUCCCACGCCGUAAACGAUGAAGUGCUAGGUGUUUGGAUCCUUUUCCGGGAAUUUCAGUGCCGCAGCCUAACGCAUUAAGCACUCCGCCUGGGGAGUACGACCGCAAGGUUGAAACUCAAAGGAAUUGACGGGGGCCCGCACAAGCGGUGGAGCAUGUGGUUUAAUUCGAAGCAACGCGAAGAACCUUACCAGGUCUUGACAUCCCGAUGCUAUUUCUAGAGAUAGAAAGUUACUUCGGUACAUCGGUGACAGGUGGUGCAUGGUUGUCGUCAGCUCGUGUCGUGAGAUGUUGGGUUAAGUCCCGCAACGAGCGCAACCCCUAUUGUUAGUUGCCAUCAUUCAGUUGGGCACUCUAGCGAGACUGCCGGUAAUAAACCGGAGGAAGGUGGGGAUGACGUCAAAUCAUCAUGCCCCUUAUGACCUGGGCUACACACGUGCUACAAUGGUUGGUACAACGAGUUGCGAGUCGGUGACGGCGAGCUAAUCUCUUAAAGCCAAUCUCAGUUCGGAUUGUAGGCUGCAACUCGCCUACAUGAAGUCGGAAUCGCUAGUAAUCGCGGAUCAGCACGCCGCGGUGAAUACGUUCCCGGGCCUUGUACACACCGCCCGUCACACCACGAGAGUUUGUAACACCCGAAGUCGGUGAGGUAACCUUUUGGAGCCAGCCGCCUAAGGUGGGACAGAUGAUUGGGGUGAAGUCGUAACAAGGUAGCCGUAG